GACGAACGCUGGGGGCGUGCUUAACACAUGCAAGUCGAACGGAAAGGCCUGCGUUCCCUUGUGUGGUGCGGGUACUCGCGUGGCGAACGGGUGAGUAACACGUGACUGAUCUGGCCCCAACUCGGGUAUAAGCCAGGGAAACUGGGUCUUAUUCCCGAUAGGUCCGUAGCGUGGUGUCUGAGGUUGCAAACGAUUUUCUAGUGGUUGGGGCUGCGUUCGCUGCCUAUCAGGUUGUUGGUGGGGUAAUGGCCUACCAAGGAGGCGACCGGUAGGCGGCCUGGGAGGGUGGACGGGGAACUUAGAACUGGGAUACGGCCCAAACGGCGACGGGAGGCGGGAGUGGGGGAUAAUGGACAGAGGGCGGAAGGCUGAUGGAGCGACGCGGCGAGAGGGAUGACGGCCUUCGGAUUGUAGACUCCUUUCGAGCGCGAGGGAGCCACCUGGAUGGAAGGGUGGUGACGGUAGUGGUAGAAGAAGCACCGGCUAACUACGUG
RNAcentral lists this ribosomal RNA (494 nucleotides) under uncultured bacterium. Its description in RNAcentral is "partial 16S ribosomal RNA". It matches the Rfam family "Bacterial small subunit ribosomal RNA", at positions 28 to 507 of the family's 1533-position model. The record is from RNAcentral.